GGGGAUGUAGCUCAGUUGGUAGAGCACUUGCUUCGCAUGUAAGGGGUCAGGAGUUCGAGUCUCCUCAUCUCCACCA
RNAcentral lists this transfer RNA (76 nucleotides) under Candidatus Limnocylindria bacterium. RNAcentral describes it as "tRNA-Ala". It matches the Rfam family "tRNA". From Rfam's summary of the family: Transfer RNA (tRNA) molecules are approximately 80 nucleotides in length. Their secondary structure includes four short double-helical elements and three loops (D, anti-codon, and T loops). Further hydrogen bonds mediate the characteristic L-shaped molecular structure. tRNAs have two regions of fundamental functional importance: the anti-codon, which is responsible for specific mRNA codon recognition, and the 3' end, to which the tRNAs corresponding amino acid is attached (by aminoacyl-tRNA synthetases). tRNAs cope with the degeneracy of the genetic code in two manners: having more than one tRNA (with a specific anti-codon) for a particular amino acid; and 'wobble' base-pairing, i.e. permitting non-standard base-pairing at the 3rd anti-codon position. The record is from RNAcentral. Lineage: Bacteria; Bacillati; Chloroflexota; Candidatus Limnocylindria. RNAcentral also lists the same sequence under 3 other names.